AUCUAACAAUAAGCGGAGGAAAAGAAACUAACAAGGAUUCCCCUAGUAACGGCGAGUGAAGCGGGAAAAGCUCAAAUUUGUAAUCUGGCGCCUUGGGCGUCCGAGUUGUAAUCUCGAGAAGUAUUUUCCGCGCUGGACCGCACAUAAGUCUGUUGGAAUACAGCGUCAUAGUGGUGAGAACCCCGUAUAGGGUGCGGAUGUCCAGUGCUUUGUGAUAUACUUUCGAAGAGUCGAGUUGUUUGGGAAUGCAGCUCAAAUGGGGUGGUAAAUUCCAUCUAAAGCUAAAUAUUGGCGAGAGACCGAUAGCGAACAAGUACCGUGAGGGAAAGAUGAAAAGCACUUUGGAAAGAGAGUUAACAGUACGUGAAAUUGUUGGAAGGGAAACGCUUGAAGUCAGACUUGCAUUUUGGAGUUCAGCCGCAAGGUGUAUUCUUCAAUUCGCAGGCCAGCAUCAGUUUUUGGGGGUGGAAAAGCGCGGUUGGAAGGUAGCAGUUUCGGCUGUGUUAUAGCUGGCCGCUGGAUUCACUUUUGGGGACUGAGGAACGCAGUACGCUUUUUGCAAGACCUUCGGGUCUUUCGUACUUAGGAUGCUGGUGGAAUGGCUUUAAACGACCCGUCUUGAAACACGGACCAAGGAGUCUAACAUGCUUGCGAGUGUUUGGGUGUUAAACCCGGACGCGUAAUGAAAGUGAAUGGAGGUGGGAUCCGCAAGGUGCACCAUCGACCGAUCUGGAUUUUCUAAGAUGGAUUUGAGUAAGAGCAAUUAUGUUGGGACCCGAAAGAUGGUGAACUAUGCCUGAAUAGGGUGAAGCCAGAGGAAACUCUGGUGGAGGCUCGUAGCGGUUCUGACGUGCAAAUCGAUCGUCAAAUUUGGGUAUAGGGGCGAAAGACUAAUCGAACCAUCUAGUAACUGGUUCCUGCCGAAG
Molecule: ribosomal RNA, 926 nt
Filed under: Ustilago vinosa
Lineage: Eukaryota; Fungi; Basidiomycota; Ustilaginomycetes; Ustilaginales; Ustilaginaceae
Description: LSU rRNA
Rfam family: Eukaryotic large subunit ribosomal RNA
Source: RNAcentral